GGGUUGUGAGGUUAAGCGACUAAGCGUACACGGUGGAUGCCCUGGCAGUCAGAGGCGAUGAAGGACGUGCUAAUCUGCGAUAAGCGUCGGUAAGGUGAUAUGAACCGUUAUAACCGGCGAUUUCCGAAUGGGGAAACCCAGUGUGUUUCGACACACUAUCAUUAACUGAAUCCAUAGGUUAAUGAGGCGAACCGGGGGAACUGAAACAUCUAAGUACCCCGAGGAAAAGAAAUCAACCGAGAUUCCCCCAGUAGCGGCGAGCGAACGGGGAGGAGCCCAGAGCCUGAAUCAGUGUGUGUGUUAGUGGAAGCGUCUGGAAAGGCGCGCGAUACAGGGUGACAGCCCCGUACACAAAAAUGCACAUGCUGUGAGCUCGAUGAGUAGGGCGGGACACGUGGUAUCCUGUCUGAAUAUGGGGGGACCAUCCUCCAAGGCUAAAUACUCCUGACUGACCGAUAGUGAACCAGUACCGUGAGGGAAAGGCGAAAAGAACCCCGGCGAGGGGAGUGAAAAAGAACCUGAAACCGUGUACGUACAAGCAGUGGGAGCACGCUUAGGCGUGUGACUGCGUACCUUUUGUAUAAUGGGUCAGCGACUUAUAUUCUGUAGCAAGGUUAACCGAAUAGGGGAGCCGAAGGGAAACCGAGUCUUAACUGGGCGUUAAGUUGCAGGGUAUAGACCCGAAACCCGGUGAUCUAGCCAUGGGCAGGUUGAAGGUUGGGUAACACUAACUGGAGGACCGAACCGACUAAUGUUGAAAAAUUAGCGGAUGACUUGUGGCUGGGGGUGAAAGGCCAAUCAAACCGGGAGAUAGCUGGUUCUCCCCGAAAGCUAUUUAGGUAGCGCCUCGUGAAUUCAUCUCCGGGGGUAGAGCACUGUUUCGGCAAGGGGGUCAUCCCGACUUACCAACCCGAUGCAAACUGCGAAUACCGGAGAAUGUUAUCACGGGAGACACACGGCGGGUGCUAACGUCCGUCGUGAAGAGGGAAACAACCCAGACCGCCAGCUAAGGUCCCAAAGUCAUGGUUAAGUGGGAAACGAUGUGGGAAGGCCCAGACAGCCAGGAUGUUGGCUUAGAAGCAGCCAUCAUUUAAAGAAAGCGUAAUAGCUCACUGGUCGAGUCGGCCUGCGCGGAAGAUGUAACGGGGCUAAACCAUGCACCGAAGCUGCGGCAGCGACACUGUGUGUUGUUGGGUAGGGGAGCGUUCUGUAAGCCUGUGAAGGUGUGCUGUGAGGCAUGCUGGAGGUAUCAGAAGUGCGAAUGCUGACAUAAGUAACGAUAAAGCGGGUGAAAAGCCCGCUCGCCGGAAGACCAAGGGUUCCUGUCCAACGUUAAUCGGGGCAGGGUGAGUCGACCCCUAAGGCGAGGCCGAAAGGCGUAGUCGAUGGGAAACAGGUUAAUAUUCCUGUACUUGGUGUUACUGCGAAGGGGGGACGGAGAAGGCUAUGUUGGCCGGGCGACGGUUGUCCCGGUUUAAGCGUGUAGGCUGGUUUUCCAGGCAAAUCCGGAAAAUCAAGGCUGAGGCGUGAUGACGAGGCACUACGGUGCUGAAGCAACAAAUGCCCUGCUUCCAGGAAAAGCCUCUAAGCAUCAGGUAACAUCAAAUCGUACCCCAAACCGACACAGGUGGUCAGGUAGAGAAUACCAAGGCGCUUGAGAGAACUCGGGUGAAGGAACUAGGCAAAAUGGUGCCGUAACUUCGGGAGAAGGCACGCUGAUAUGUAGGUGAAGUCCCUCGCGGAUGGAGCUGAAAUCAGUCGAAGAUACCAGCUGGCUGCAACUGUUUAUUAAAAACACAGCACUGUGCAAACACGAAAGUGGACGUAUACGGUGUGACGCCUGCCCGGUGCCGGAAGGUUAAUUGAUGGGGUUAGCGCAAGCGAAGCUCUUGAUCGAAGCCCCGGUAAACGGCGGCCGUAACUAUAACGGUCCUAAGGUAGCGAAAUUCCUUGUCGGGUAAGUUCCGACCUGCACGAAUGGCGUAAUGAUGGCCAGGCUGUCUCCACCCGAGACUCAGUGAAAUUGAACUCGCUGUGAAGAUGCAGUGUACCCGCGGCAAGACGGAAAGACCCCGUGAACCUUUACUAUAGCUUGACACUGAACAUUGAGCCUUGAUGUGUAGGAUAGGUGGGAGGCUUUGAAGUGUGGACGCCAGUCUGCAUGGAGCCGACCUUGAAAUACCACCCUUUAAUGUUUGAUGUUCUAACGUUGACCCGUAAUCCGGGUUGCGGACAGUGUCUGGUGGGUAGUUUGACUGGGGCGGUCUCCUCCUAAAGAGUAACGGAGGAGCACGAAGGUUGGCUAAUCCUGGUCGGACAUCAGGAGGUUAGUGCAAUGGCAUAAGCCAGCUUGACUGCGAGCGUGACGGCGCGAGCAGGUGCGAAAGCAGGUCAUAGUGAUCCGGUGGUUCUGAAUGGAAGGGCCAUCGCUCAACGGAUAAAAGGUACUCCGGGGAUAACAGGCUGAUACCGCCCAAGAGUUCAUAUCGACGGCGGUGUUUGGCACCUCGAUGUCGGCUCAUCACAUCCUGGGGCUGAAGUAGGUCCCAAGGGUAUGGCUGUUCGCCAUUUAAAGUGGUACGCGAGCUGGGUUUAGAACGUCGUGAGACAGUUCGGUCCCUAUCUGCCGUGGGCGCUGGAGAACUGAGGGGGGCUGCUCCUAGUACGAGAGGACCGGAGUGGACGCAUCACUGGUGUUCGGGUUGUCAUGCCAAUGGCACUGCCCGGUAGCUAAAUGCGGAAGAGAUAAGUGCUGAAAGCAUCUAAGCACGAAACUUGCCCCGAGAUGAGUUCUCCCUGACCCUUUAAGGGUCCUGAAGGAACGUUGAAGACGACGACGUUGAUAGGCCGGGUGUGUAAGCGCAGCGAUGCGUUGAGCUAACCGGUACUAAUGAACCGUGAGGCUUAACCUUACAACGCCGAAGGUGUUU
This 2930-nucleotide ribosomal RNA is filed under the name Escherichia coli. RNAcentral's name for it is "23S ribosomal RNA". It matches the Rfam family "Bacterial large subunit ribosomal RNA". Lineage: Bacteria; Pseudomonadati; Pseudomonadota; Gammaproteobacteria; Enterobacterales; Enterobacteriaceae. The record is from RNAcentral.